UACAGAGGGGGCAAGCGUUGUUCGGAAUUACUGGGCGUAAACGGCGCGUAGGCGGCCUUCUAAGUCGAACGUGAAAUCCCCGGGCUCAACCCGGGAACUGCGUCCGAUACUGGAAGGCUUGAAUCCGGGAGAGGGAUGCGGAAUUCCAGGUGUAGCGGUGAAAUGCGUAGAUAUCUGGAGGAACACCGGUGGCGAAGGCGGCAUCCUGGACCGGCAUUGACGCUGAGGCGCGAAAGCCAGGGGAGCAAACGGG
RNAcentral lists this ribosomal RNA (253 nucleotides) under uncultured bacterium. RNAcentral's name for it is "partial 16S ribosomal RNA". It matches the Rfam family "Bacterial small subunit ribosomal RNA", at positions 524 to 776 of the family's 1533-position model. The record is from RNAcentral.